UUAGAGUUUGAUCAUGGCUCAGAUUGAACGCUGGCGGCAGGCCUAACACAUGCAAGUCGAACGGUAGCACAGAGAGCUUGCUCUCGGGUGACGAGUGGCGGACGGGUGAGUAAUGUCUGGGAAACUGCCCGAUGGAGGGGGAUAACUACUGGAAACGGUAGCUAAUACCGCAUAACGUCGCAAGACCAAAGUGGGGGACUUUCGGGCCUCACACCAUCGGAUGUGCCCAGAUGGGAUUAGCUAGUAGGUGGGGUAACGGCUCACCUAGGCGACGAUCCCUAGCUGGUCUGAGAGGAUGACCAGCCACACUGGAACUGAGACACGGUCCAGACUCCUACGGGAGGCAGCAGUGGGGAAUAUUGUACAAUGGGCGCAAGCCUGAUGCAGCCAUGCCGCGUGUAUGAAGAAGGCCUUCGGGUUGUAAAGUACUUUCAGCGAGAAGGAAGGCGUUGUGGUUAAUAACCACAGCGAUUGACGUUACUCGCAGAAGAAGCACCGGCUAACUCCGUGCCAGCAGCCGCGGUAAUACA
RNAcentral lists this ribosomal RNA (530 nucleotides) under bacterium enrichment culture clone Jdg012. RNAcentral's name for it is "bacterial SSU rRNA". It matches the Rfam family "Bacterial small subunit ribosomal RNA", at positions 1 to 527 of the family's 1533-position model. The record is from RNAcentral.